Molecule: ribosomal RNA, 253 nt
Filed under: uncultured bacterium
Lineage: Bacteria
Description: partial 16S ribosomal RNA
Rfam family: Bacterial small subunit ribosomal RNA
Source: RNAcentral
UACGAAGGGGGCUAGCGUUGCUCGGAAUCACUGGGCGUAAAGCGCACGUAGGCGGCUUGCUAAGUCAGGUGUGAAAUCCUGGAGCUCAACUCCAGAACUGCCUUUGAUACUGGCGACCUUGAGUCCGGGAGAGGUGAGUGGAACUGCGAGUGUAGAGGUGAAAUUCGUAGAUAUUCGCAAGAACACCAGUGGCGAAGGCGGCUCACUGGCCCGGUACUGACGCUGAGGUGCGAAAGCGUGGGGAGCAAACAGG